Molecule: ribosomal RNA, 403 nt
Filed under: uncultured bacterium
Lineage: Bacteria
Description: partial 16S ribosomal RNA
Rfam family: Bacterial small subunit ribosomal RNA
Source: RNAcentral
AUUGAACGCUGGCGGCAGGCCUAACACAUGCAAGUCGAGCGAGCGGCGGACGGGGGAGUAAUGUAUGGGGACUGCCCGAUAGAGGGGGAUAACUACGGGAAACGGUAGCUAAGACCGCAUAAUAUCGGAUAACCCAGAUGGGAUUAGCUAGUGGGUGGGGUAAAGGCUACGCUAGGCGACGAUCUCUAGCUGGUCUGAGAGGAUGAUCAGCCACACUGGGACUGAGACACGGCCCAGACUCCUACGGAGGCAGCAGUGGGGAAUAUUGCACAAUGGGCGCAAGCCUGAUGCAGCCAUGCCGCGUGUAUGAAGAAGGCCUUAGGGUUGUAAAGUACUUUCAGCGGGGAGGCGUUACCCGCAGAAGAAGCACCGGCUAACUCCGUGCCAGCAGCCGCGGUAAUAC